Molecule: long non-coding RNA, 920 nt
Filed under: Nicotiana benthamiana
Lineage: Eukaryota; Viridiplantae; Streptophyta; Magnoliopsida; Solanales; Solanaceae
Description: long non-coding RNA (NBEN_LNC015654)
Source: RNAcentral
GCAAGAAAAGCAUUUUAAGCAUAAAAAAUUAUAAUCGUUCAUUGGUGCUAAUAGCCAUAAAUACAUAUACUAUGUUUUCUAUUGGCAACUAAUAUCUCUAAGUAUGCUAGCUACUCAAUUAUUUCAUAAGUAAUUGGAAUACAUAUGAUUAUAUUAUACCCUCUCAACAACAUUUAAUGCAAAGGCCUUUAAAGCAAGUGCAACAUACAAAACCACUGCAUGUUUGGGAUCCAAGGCAACCUGAAAUUCACAAAAGAAACAAUUUUUAUAUACAAAAGAUAAAAAGAUAAAAACUUUCGUGAUAAAGCCUAUCUAUGAACUUACCAUAAGCUAGCAGUAAUCUUAAACAUCUAUAUAUGGGAUAUGCAUGUGUACUCAUGAUUUUACGAAAAAGUAUACUCAUAAGAGAGAUUUAAAUCUAUUAAUGUCAAAAUAGUAAUCUCAAAAACUUAUCUUGAAAUUCCAACAUCAAGAAUCAAUUCCAAACAUUCCAAAUAGAAAUGUGAUUUUGAAUUGUUUAAUGAAGAUGUAAAUAUUAUUAUGUUAUGCAAACUUUCAGUUUUAAACUAAAUAUAUUCUAAAUCGACAGGAAAAAUAGAAAAUUUUUAAAAAUAUAAAAUAAGAUUUUUUGUAAACCUAGACGUACCUGUAACAGACACACGAAUAUUGCGACUCACAGUAAAUAAUUUCAACGAUAUUGCAGAUGAUGUUGCUUCUGGUGCGUAUGAUAGCUCCGAUACAUAUGAUGGCUCCGGUGCAGAUGAUGGCUCCGACAUCCCUUGAGUUAAUGGGGAAAAAAGAACAAACAUGAAAAUAAUCAUGCACCCCAUGACAAUGGUCUUUCCCAUCUUAAACAAUUGCUCUUCUAUGUAUGUACUUUUCUUUUCUUUUUUCCUUUUUUCUCCUCUAUUUAAGUACUU